RNAcentral lists this ribosomal RNA (1008 nucleotides) under Triticum aestivum (bread wheat). RNAcentral describes it as "partial small subunit ribosomal RNA". The record is from RNAcentral. Lineage: Eukaryota; Viridiplantae; Streptophyta; Magnoliopsida; Poales; Poaceae.
AUGGUCAGACUGCAUGGGCUACCUCUGUUUAUAGUUUCAGAUAGGGACAAAAUAUUCACCAGUGACUUUUGGAAAGAAUUGUUCAUAAUUUGGGGCAUUGAGUUACAGAUGAGCACAACAUACCACCCUCAAACAGAUGGGCAAACAGAGAGAGUAAAUCAGUGUCUAGAAAUGUAUCUCAGGUGUGCUGUACAUGCUUCACCAACUAAGUGGGUCUCAUGGCUACCUCAAGCAGAGUUCUAGUACCACACCACCUACCACUCUUCUCUGGGUUGCACUCCUUAUAAAGCUUUAUAUGAAUAUGAGCCACAUGUGGGACAACUGUACAGUCAAACUCAGUCUCACAAUACUGAAGUACAUCAUUGGUUGUCUAUACAUACUGAACACACAGCAGCAAUAAAGGAACAGUUAGCUCGAGCACAGAGCAAGUACAAGCAGUUUGCAUAUCGUAAGAGGACUGACAGACAGUUCACUGAAGGAGAGAUGGUCUAUUUCCGACUGCAAUCGUAUGCCCAGUCGUCAGUGGUCAAUCGUCCCUGCCCUAAACUGGCCAUGAAAUACUUUGGUCCCUUCAAAAUUCUCUCCAAGAUCGGUCAAGCAGCUUACAGACUGGAGCAGCCGCGCGGAAGCUUGGUUCAUCCGGUCUUUCACGUCUCUCAAUUGAAAGAGCACAUGCUUGACUACGCCCCAGUGUUCACUACUCUGCCAGCGCCACUGGACUUGUCUGAUCCCGUUAUGCAGCCAGAGGAGAUCAUUAAUCGUCGCUUGGUCAAGAAAGGCAAUGCCGCUCAUCAGCAAGUGCUGGUGAAAUGGAUAAAGUUUCCUGCAACUGAAGCUACAUGGGAAGACUACCAAUUACUCCGUUCCAGGUACCCGACUACACCAGCAUGGGGACAAGCUGGUUCUCCAGGGAAGGGUACUGUCAGUACUGGCGCACUGAUCGCAGUCAAGAAGCAGAGGGCAGGGAGGAGCUUCGCCAAGAAGAAGACAGAAGAAGUGAGCGGGUGA